This 139-nucleotide unclassified non-coding RNA is filed under the name Sympodiella sp. RNAcentral describes it as "partial internal transcribed spacer 2". The record is from RNAcentral. Lineage: Eukaryota; Fungi; Ascomycota; Dothideomycetes; Venturiales; Cylindrosympodiaceae. RNAcentral also lists the same sequence under 1 other name.
CAACCCUCAAGCCCCGCUUGGUGAUGGGCCCUGCCUGCGGGCGGGCCCGAAACUCGUGGGCGUCGUCGUUCGGCUCCAAGCGUAGCAAAACCCUCGCUUGGGCGCCCGGACGGCGGCCGCCCGGAACGAAUUUUUACAA